CUUUUUUUUUUUUUCUUGUUUGCAGAUUGACUGCCUGCCUUCCCGCUUUUUCAUGAAAGCAAUUUUUCAUUAUAGCUGAAGCCUGCCGCAUACAAGUGAACAAAGAGAGAGAGAGAGAUUUACCUCUGAGAUCUAAAGUCAGCAUUGGGUUUUUGGGGUUUGAUGAAGAGCUUCUUGGAACAUACAAUUAAAAUGUAGGGAUCUGCAUUGGUCUUGGGACUACAAUUUUUUUUUUUUUUUUUUUUUUUACCUUUGGGUUUAGUAGAGAAGAUGGUAUGGGAAAUCGUUUUUAUAAAAGCUUUCUUUUUUUCUUUUCCUUUUACUUUGAAUUCACAUCUUAUGUAGCUGUAGCGAGAGUUAAUGUUAGUUAUAUAUAAUAAUAUAGAGUGGAUGCUAUUUGGUGGACAA
Theobroma cacao (cacao) is the source of this 408-nucleotide non-coding RNA. The record is from RefSeq and is a predicted model, not a curated record. Lineage: Eukaryota; Viridiplantae; Streptophyta; Magnoliopsida; Malvales; Malvaceae.